This 384-nucleotide ribosomal RNA is filed under the name Haptophyta sp. RNAcentral describes it as "SSU rRNA". It matches the Rfam family "Eukaryotic small subunit ribosomal RNA", at positions 587 to 975 of the family's 1831-position model. Lineage: Eukaryota; Haptophyta. The record is from RNAcentral.
AGCUCCAAUAGCGUAUAUUAAAGUUGUUGCAGUUAAAAAGCUCGUAGUCGGAUUUCGGGGCGGGGCGACCGGUCUGCCGAUGGGUAUGCACUGGUCGGCGCGUCCUUCCUUCCGGAGACCGUGCCUACUCUUAACUGAGCGGGGGCGGGAGACGGAUCGUUUACUUUGAAAAAAUCAGAGUGUUUCAAGCAGGCGUCUCGCCUUUGCAUGGAUUAGCAUGGGAUAAUGAAAUAGGACUUUGGUGCUAUUUUGUUGGUUUCGAACACCGAAGUAAUGAUUAACAGGGACAGUCAGGGGCACUCGUAUUCCGUCGAGAGAGGUGAAAUUCUCAGACCAAUGGAAGACGAACAACUGCGAAAGCAUUUGCCAGGGAUGUUUUCACUG